UACGUAGGCAGCAAGCGUUUGUUCGGAGUUACUGGGCGUAAAGGGUGCGUAGGCGGCCCUGUAAGUAUGGUGUGAAAUUUCCCGGCUUAACUGGGAGGGUGCGCUAUAGACUGCGGGGCUCGAGUGUGGGAGAGGGAAAGUGGAAUUCCUGGUGUAGCGGUGGAAUGCGCAGAUAUCAGGAGGAACACCCGGGUGGCGAAGGCGGGGUCUCUGGGGCAGUAACUGACGCUGGAGGAGCGAAAAGCGUGGGGGAGCGAACAGG
This 262-nucleotide ribosomal RNA is filed under the name uncultured bacterium. Its description in RNAcentral is "partial 16S ribosomal RNA". It matches the Rfam family "Bacterial small subunit ribosomal RNA", at positions 524 to 776 of the family's 1533-position model. The record is from RNAcentral.